UACGAAGGGUGCAAGCGUUACUCGGAAUUACUGGGCGUAAAGCGUGCGUAGGUGGUUUGUUAAGUCUGAUGUGAAAGCCCUGGGCUCAACCUGGGAACGGCAUUGGAAACUGGCUUACUAGAGUGCGGUAGAGGGGUGUGGAAUUCCCGGUGUAGCAGUGAAAUGCGUAGAUAUCGGGAGGAACAUCUGUGGCGAAGGCGGGUCUCUGGGCAACAACUGACGCUGAGGCGCGAAAGCUAGGGGAGCAAACGGG
Molecule: ribosomal RNA, 253 nt
Filed under: uncultured bacterium
Lineage: Bacteria
Description: partial 16S ribosomal RNA
Rfam family: Bacterial small subunit ribosomal RNA
Source: RNAcentral